UGAGGAAUAUUGCACAAUGGGCGAAAGCCUGAUGCAGCGACGCCGCGUGGGUGAAGAAGGUUUUCGGAUCGUAAAACCCUUUUCUGUGUGACGAGAACGGACGGUAGCACAGGAAUAAGUCUCGGCUAACUACGUGCCAGCAGCCGCGGUAAAACGUAGGAGACAAACGUUAUCCGGAGUUACUGGGCGUAAAGGGCGUGCAGGCGGCAGUCUAAGUCUGGCGUGAAAUAUCCCGGCUCAACCGGGGAAGGUCGUCGGAUACUGGGCAGCUAGAGGACGGUAGAGGCGUGUGGAAUUCCGGGUGUAGUGGUGAAAUGCGUAGAGAUCCGGAGGAACACCAGUGGCGAAGGCGACACGCUGGGCCGUACCUGACGCUAAGACGCGACAGCAUGGGGAGCAAACAGGAUUAGAUAGCCUAGUAGUCCCUGAGCGGGCUGGCAAGGCGCAU
This 448-nucleotide ribosomal RNA is filed under the name uncultured bacterium. Its description in RNAcentral is "bacterial SSU rRNA". It matches the Rfam family "Bacterial small subunit ribosomal RNA", at positions 355 to 825 of the family's 1533-position model. The record is from RNAcentral.